UACAGGGGGUGCAAACGUUGCUCGGAAUCAUUGGGCGUAAAGCGCACGUAGGCGGUUCGUUAUGUCGGAUGUGAAAGCCCUUGGCUUAACCGAGGAAGUGCAUCCGAAACUGGCGAGCUAGAGUACGAAAGAGGAUCGCGGAAUUCCCGGUGUAGAGGUGAAAUUCGUAGAUAUCGGGAGGAACACCAGUGGCGAAGGCGGCGAUCUGGGAAGAUACUGACGCUGAGGUGCGAAAGCGUGGGGGAGCAAACAGG
This 254-nucleotide ribosomal RNA is filed under the name uncultured bacterium. RNAcentral describes it as "partial 16S ribosomal RNA". It matches the Rfam family "Bacterial small subunit ribosomal RNA", at positions 524 to 776 of the family's 1533-position model. The record is from RNAcentral.